CCCCGGCACAAGCGGUGGAGCAUGUGGUUUAAUUCGAUGCUACGCGAAGAACCUUACCUGGGCUUGACAUCCCGGGAAUCCUCCAGAGAUGGAAGAGUGCCCUUCGGUACAUCGGUGACAGGUGGUGCAUGGUUGUCGUCAGCUCGUGUCGUGAGAUGUUGGGUUAAGUCCCGCAACGAGCGCAACCCCUAUUGUUAGUUGCCAUCAUUCAGUUGGGCACUCUAGCGAGACUGCCGGUAAUAAACCGGAGGAAGGUGGGGAUGACGUCAAAUCAUCAUGCCCCUUAUGACCUGGGCUACACACGUGCUACAAUGGUUGGUACAACGAGUUGCGAGUCGGUGACGGCGAGCUAAUCUCUUAAAGCCAAUCUCAGUUCGGAUUGUAGGCUGCAACUCGCCUACAUGAAGUCGGAAUCGCUAGUAAUCGCGGAUCAGCACGCCGCGGUCGAAUACGUUCCCGGGCCUU
Molecule: ribosomal RNA, 465 nt
Filed under: uncultured Streptococcus sp.
Lineage: Bacteria; Bacillati; Bacillota; Bacilli; Lactobacillales; Streptococcaceae
Description: bacterial SSU rRNA
Rfam family: Bacterial small subunit ribosomal RNA
Source: RNAcentral